AUGAACGCUGGCGGCGUGCCUAAUACAUGCAAGUCGAGCGAACAGACGAGGAGCUUGCUCCUCUGACGUUAGCGGCGGACGGGUGAGUAACACGUGGAUAACCUACCUAUAAGACUGGGAUAACUUCGGGAAACCGGAGCUAAUACCGGAUAAUAUAUUGAACCGCAUGGUUCAAUAGUGAAAGACGGUUUUGCUGUCACUUAUAGAUGGAUCCGCGCCGCAUUAGCUAGUUGGUAAGGUAACGGCUUACCAAGGCGACGAUGCGUAGCCGACCUGAGAGGGUGAUCGGCCACACUGGAACUGAGACACGGUCCAGACUCCUACGGGAGGCAGCAGUAGGGAAUCUUCCGCAAUGGGCGAAAGCCUGACGGAGCAACGCCGCGUGAGUGAUGAAGGUCUGCGGAUCGUAAAACUCUGUUAUUAGGGAAGAACAAAUGUGUAGUAACUAUGCACGUCUUGACGGUACCUAAUCAGAAAGCCACGGCUAACUACGUG
This 495-nucleotide ribosomal RNA is filed under the name uncultured bacterium. RNAcentral describes it as "partial 16S ribosomal RNA". It matches the Rfam family "Bacterial small subunit ribosomal RNA", at positions 29 to 507 of the family's 1533-position model. The record is from RNAcentral.